CGGGUCUCAGAUGAACUCCUGUUCUAAAAAUGUCUGAGCCCAGAGCACAGAUUGCUAAUGAUUUUUAUUAACAAUAACUCCUCCUAUUCCUAGCUCCAUUCACACAUACCCUUCGACCAGUCAGUGAACAGGAUAUUCAGGAUCACCUCAUAUGGGCAGACUGCAUGACUCCUUUUUAAGGACAAAGGAAUGUGAGUACAGUUGAUACACAUGCU
Molecule: non-coding RNA, 215 nt
Organism: Pelobates cultripes (western spadefoot toad)
Lineage: Eukaryota; Metazoa; Chordata; Amphibia; Anura; Pelobatidae
Source: the annotation of a GenBank genome assembly